UGCUAGGAAGCAAAUCGGUGCUGUUGCCUACAUCGAGUGUAGCUCGAAAACCCAGCAGAAUGUAAAGGCAGUGUUUGAUGCUGCGAUCAAGGUGGUCCUCCAACCUCCAAAGCAGAA
Long non-coding RNA from Selaginella moellendorffii, 117 nucleotides. RefSeq lists it as uncharacterized. The transcript has 2 exons. Lineage: Eukaryota; Viridiplantae; Streptophyta; Lycopodiopsida; Selaginellales; Selaginellaceae. The record is from RefSeq and is a predicted model, not a curated record.